Small nuclear RNA from Callithrix jacchus (white-tufted-ear marmoset), 107 nucleotides. The record is from Ensembl. Lineage: Eukaryota; Metazoa; Chordata; Mammalia; Primates; Cebidae.
GUGCUCAUUUAGGCAGCACAUAUACUAAAACUGGAAUAAUAACAGGAAGAUGAGCAUGGUACCUGCCCAUGGAUGACACAUAAACUAGUCAAGAGUUCUAUUAUUUU